AAUCAACGCUGGCGGCGUGCCUCAGACAUGCAAGUCGAACGAUUAAACUUGCCUUCGGGCAAGAUAUAAAGUGGCGCACGGGUGAGUAACACGUAAGUAAUCUACCUUCGAGUGGGGAAUAACGUCGGGAAACCGACGCUAAUACCGCAUAAUGCAGCGGCACCUAAUGGUGACAGUUGUUAAAGGAGCAAUUCGCUUGAAGAGGAGCUUGCGGCAGAUUAGCUAGUUGGAAGGUAAUGGCUUACCAAGGCUACGAUCUGUAACCGGUCUAAGAGGACGGUCGGUCACACUGACACUGAAUAACGGGUCAGACUCCUACGGGAGGCAGCAGUCGGGAA
Molecule: ribosomal RNA, 338 nt
Filed under: uncultured bacterium
Lineage: Bacteria
Description: bacterial SSU rRNA
Rfam family: Bacterial small subunit ribosomal RNA
Source: RNAcentral